This 395-nucleotide ribosomal RNA is filed under the name uncultured bacterium. Its description in RNAcentral is "bacterial SSU rRNA". It matches the Rfam family "Bacterial small subunit ribosomal RNA", at positions 505 to 898 of the family's 1533-position model. The record is from RNAcentral.
GUGUCAGCAGCCGCGGUAAUACGGAGGUUGCGAGCGUUGUUCGGAAUGACUGGGCGUAAAGGGAGCGCAGGCGGUUCGGAAAGUCUAAAGUGGAAGCCCGGGGCUUAACCUCGGAAGUGCUUUGGAUACUACCGAACUCGAGUUCGUGAGAGGAAAGCGGAAUUCCAGGUGUAGCGGUGAAAUGCGUAGAUAUCUGGAGGAACACCGGUGGCGAAAGCGGCUUUCUGGCACGAUACUGACGCUGAGGCUCGAAAGCAUGGGGAGCGAACAGGAUUAGAUACCCUGGUAGUCCAUGCUGUAAACGUUGUGCACUAGGUGUGGGAGGUAUCGACCCCUUCCGUGCCGCAGCUAACGCAUUAAGUGCACCGCCUGGGGAGUACGGUCGCAAGACUGAA